CAGUCGACGGGAUCUUCGGAUUCUAGUGGCGGACGGGUGAGUAACGCGUAAGAAUCUAACUUCAGGACGGGGACAACAGUUGGAAACGACUGCUAAUACCCGAUAUGCCGCGAGGUGAAACCUAAUUGGCCUGAAGAAGAGCUUGCGUCUGAUUAGCUAGUUGGUGGGGUAAGAGCCUACCAAGGCGACGAUCAGUAGCUGGUCUGAGAGGAUGAGCAGCCACACUGGGACUGAGACACGGCCCAGACUCCUACGGGAGGCAGCAGUGGGGAAUUUUCCGCAAUGGGCGAAAGCCUGACGGAGCAACGCCGCGUGAGGGAGGAAGGUCUUUGGAUUGUAAACCUCUUUUCUCAAGGAAGAAGUUCUGACGGUACUUGAGGAAUCAGCCUCGGCUAACUCCGUGCCAGCAGCCGCGGUAAUACGGGGGAGGCAAGCGUUAUCCGGAAUUAUUGGGCGUAAAGCGUCCGCAGGUGGUCAGCCAAGUCUGCCGUCAAAUCAGGUUGCUUAACGACCUAAAGGCGGUGGAAACUGGCAGACUAGAGAGCAGUAGGGGUAGCAGGAAUUCCCAGUGUAGCGGUGAAAUGCGUAGAGAUUGGGAAGAACAUCGGUGGCGAAAGCGUGCUACUGGGCUGUAUCUGACACUCAGGGACGAAAGCUAGGGGAGCGAAAGGGAUUAGAUACCCCUGUAGUCCUAGCCGUAAACGAUGGAUACUAGGUGUGGCUUGUAUCGACCCGAGCCGUGCCGAAGCUAACGCGUUAAGUAUCCCGCCUGGGGAGUACGCACGCAAGUGUGAAACUCAAAGGAAUUGACGG
Molecule: ribosomal RNA, 813 nt
Filed under: uncultured bacterium
Lineage: Bacteria
Description: bacterial SSU rRNA
Rfam family: Bacterial small subunit ribosomal RNA
Source: RNAcentral